RNAcentral lists this ribosomal RNA (790 nucleotides) under uncultured archaeon. RNAcentral describes it as "bacterial SSU rRNA". It matches the Rfam family "Archaeal small subunit ribosomal RNA", at positions 85 to 876 of the family's 1478-position model. The record is from RNAcentral.
ACUGCUCAGUAACACGUGGACAACCUACCCUGAGGAGAGGGAUAACCCCGGAAAACUGGGGAUAAUACCUCAUAGACCAGGGAUGCUGGAAUGCUUCCUGGUCCAAAGGUCCGCCGCCUCAGGAUGGGUCUGCGGCCGAUUAGGUUGUUGUUGGGGUAACGGCCCAACAAGCCUUUGAUCGGUACGGGUUGUGGGAGCAAGAGCCCGGAGAUGGAUUCUGAGACACGAAUCCAGGCCCUACGGGGUGCAGCAGGCGCGAAAACUUUACAAUGCUGGCAACAGCGAUAAGGGGACCUCGAGUGCCAGGAUACAAUCUUGGCUGUCGUAAUGCCUAAAAAGCAUUGCAUAGCAAGGGCCGGGCAAGACCGGUGCCAGCCGCCGCGGUAACACCGGCGGCUCGAGUGGUAACCGCUAUUAUUGGGUCUAAAGGGUCUGUAGCCGGCCGGAUAAGUCUUUUGGGAAAUCUGGCAGCUCAACUGUCAGGCUUUCAGGAGAUACUGUCUGGCUCGAGGCCGGGAGAGGUGAGAGGUACUUCAGGGGUAGGGGUGAAAUCUUGUAAUCCUUGAAGGACCACCAGUGGCGAAGGCGUCUCACCAGAACGGACCUGACGGCAAGGGACGAAAGCUAGGGGCACGAACCGGAUUAGAUACCCGGGUAGUCCUAGCCGUAAACGAUACUCGCUAGGUGUCAGCCACGGUGCGACCGUGGUUGGUGCCGUAGGGAAGCCGUGAAGCGAGCCACCUGGGAAGUACGGCCGCAAGGCUGAAACUUAAAGGAAUUGGCGGGGGAG